This 253-nucleotide ribosomal RNA is filed under the name uncultured bacterium. RNAcentral's name for it is "partial 16S ribosomal RNA". It matches the Rfam family "Bacterial small subunit ribosomal RNA", at positions 524 to 776 of the family's 1533-position model. The record is from RNAcentral.
UACAGAGGUCUCAAGCGUUGUUCGGAUUCAUUGGGCGUAAAGGGUGCGUAGGCGGCGCGGUAAGUCGGGUGUGAAAUCUCGGAGCUUAACUCCGAAACUGCAUUCGAUACUGGCGUGCUUGAGGACUGGAGAGGAGACUGGAAUUCAUGGUGUAGCAGUGAAAUGCGUAGAGAUCAUGAGGAAGACCAGUGGCGAAGGCGGGUCUCUGGGCCGAUACUGACGCUGAGGAGCGAAAGCGUGGGGAGCGAAUGGG